This 70-nucleotide transfer RNA is filed under the name Necremnus tutae. Its description in RNAcentral is "tRNA-Gln". The record is from RNAcentral. Lineage: Eukaryota; Metazoa; Arthropoda; Insecta; Hymenoptera; Eulophidae.
UAUAUAUUAGUGUAUUAUUGCACAAAAAUUUUUGAAAUUUUUAGAAAUAAAUUAAUUUUAUUAUAUAUAU